GCUCAGUCGGUAGAGCAUCAGACUU
Molecule: non-coding RNA, 25 nt
Filed under: Xenopus tropicalis (tropical clawed frog)
Lineage: Eukaryota; Metazoa; Chordata; Amphibia; Anura; Pipidae
Also listed under: 4 other names
Source: RNAcentral